AUUGAACGCUGGCGGCAUGCCUUACACAUGCAAGUCGAACGGCAGCACGGGAGCAAUCCUGGUGGCGAGUGGCGAACGGGUGAGUAAUAUAUCGGAACGUGCCCAGUCGUGGGGAUAACGUAGCGAAAGCUACGCUAAUACCGCAUACGAUCUAUGGAUGAAAGCGGGGGAUCGCAAGACCUCGCGCGAUUGGAGCGGCCGAUAUCAGAUUAGGUAGUUGGUGAGGUAAAGGCUCACCAAGCCGACGAUCUGUAGCUGGUCUGAGAGGACGACCAGCCACACUGGGACUGAGACACGGCCCAGACUCCUACGGGAGGCAGCAGUGGGGAAUUUUGAACAAUGGGCGAAAGCCUGAUCCAGCCAUGCCGCGUGUGUGAAGAAGGUCUUCGGAUUGUAAACUGCU
This 403-nucleotide ribosomal RNA is filed under the name uncultured bacterium. RNAcentral describes it as "bacterial SSU rRNA". It matches the Rfam family "Bacterial small subunit ribosomal RNA", at positions 30 to 434 of the family's 1533-position model. The record is from RNAcentral.